Molecule: ribosomal RNA, 254 nt
Filed under: uncultured bacterium
Lineage: Bacteria
Description: partial 16S ribosomal RNA
Rfam family: Bacterial small subunit ribosomal RNA
Source: RNAcentral
UACGUAGGGUGCGAGCGUUGUCCGGAUUUACUGGGCGUAAAGAGCUCGUAGGCGGUUUGUCGCGUCGUCUGUGAAAUCCCACGGCUCAAUCGUGGGCGUGCAGGCGAUACGGGCAUAACUUGAGUACUGUAGGGGAGACUGGAAUUCCUGGUGUAGCGGUGGAAUGCGCAGAUAUCAGGAGGAACACCGGUGGCGAAGGCGGGUCUCUGGGCAGUAACUGACGCUGAGGAGCGAAAGCGUGGGUAGCGAACAGG